RNA transcript from Vigna radiata var. radiata (mung bean), 1619 nucleotides. It is a transcript of the gene named dnaJ homolog subfamily C member 17, with no coding region annotated. The record is from RefSeq and is a predicted model, not a curated record. Lineage: Eukaryota; Viridiplantae; Streptophyta; Magnoliopsida; Fabales; Fabaceae. The transcript is spliced from 4 exons.
AUUUCAUUCUCAAUUUGAGUGCCGUGUUGACAAGGUUAGGGUUAGGGUUUUAAGGCGCGGGAAAAGAGUUUUGGGGAAAAAUGGAUGCCCAGAUUGAUCACUAUGCGGUGCUAGGGUUACCAUCGGGAGAAGAAGGUGCCAAGCUAACGGAGAAAGAGAUCAACAAAGCCUACAGAUGGAAGGCUCUGGAACUGCACCCCGACAAGAGGCCCGACGACCCCAACGCCGCGGCCAACUUCCAACAGCUCCGCACAUCCUACGACAUUCUCCGGGAUGACAAGGCCCGUAAGUUAUUCGACGAACUAUUGCGUGUCAAGCGCGAACGCGAGCUCCGCCACUCCCAGCGCGAUGGAAAGCGCCGAAAGAUGGUUUCCGAUCUCGAACGCCGGGAGCGCGAUGCCAACGCCCCCGACCUCGCUGCCAAGGAGCGUGAAGAGGAGGCCAGGAUCGCGCGCCAGCUCAAGGAGGAGAUCGCUAGAAUUCGUGCUAUGCACGGCAUGAAGGCGGCGCCGCCACCUCCACCGGAGGCGGAGAAGGAGAGUGGCCGUGGCCGUGCUGGUGGGGGAGGUGGAGUGGAUCAAGAGAAGGUUCUGAAGGUUUCUUGGGAAAAGGUGGGCGAGGAUUAUUCGGCUGAUAAGUUGAGGGAAUUGUUUUCAGAGUUCGGUGAAGUGGAAGAUGUUGUCAUCAAAGGGAGCAAGAAGAAGGGUUCUGCACUCGUUGUUAUGGCCAAUAAAGAAGGAAGUGUUGCUGCAACGGGAAGUGUGAUUGGUCAUCUUGCUAAUCCGUUGCUGGUUUUACCGCUUAAACCGGCCACUAUUGCAGAUUCUUCCAGUUUUCCGAAGUCUGCUGAAACUGCCAAAUUGAGUAAUCUGGUUGGUGCUGGGUAUCAAGCUUUUGAGGAUUCUGUUCUGAAGAAACUGCAAAAGGCUGCAGAAAAGCAAAAAUGAUGCUGUCAGAAUGAUAAGCAUAAGAUUCAAUUAUUUGGCUUGGUCAUCCCCAAUUCUAUGUUUAGGAAUCUGCAAACCUCUGGUGUUAUAUUUCAAGAGAAAUAUAUUUUGUUGAAAACCACAAGCUGGAAAUUGAAUCAGUUGUGUGGUUUUAAUGUCAUCUGGGCUCAAUGUCACAUGCCGUUAACAGCAGAUAAAAUCAAUACUGCUUGCAAGCACGUGGAAAGUCAGAAGCCAUCGAUUCCCACCAUGAUUGCUUAUAACUUCAGUUUCAGUUAAAUCCUGUUCUCUGCUGUCACGUAUGCAGCACUUAAAUGGGAAUGGAACUCGGAUUAAACUCAGAUUCUAAGUCCACUUUGGAAAAGCUCUCGCUCAACAUUGCAUUGGAUAGAAGAAUAAUACUUGGGACUAUGCCUCACUCAGCCAUCCAUGUGUGCUAGAAUAAUAAAUAGUUGUAUAAAAAGAGUAGAGCUUUAGAACGUGCUGUCAAGUACCGAGGCUUUCUGAAAAUACCUUUUUAUACUGGUGAUUGCCACACGACUGCACAACAUUAUUAUUGUUUUUUCUGCUGUACAUUUCAAAUAAUCCAUGAAUUGAUGUAUUAAAGACAAACCUGAACGAUGCAAUAUCAAAUCGGUAAACCUUUGGAGGUAAAGCAGAAGUGAAGAAUUA